GACGAACGCUGGCGGCGCGCCUAACACAUGCAAGUCGAGCGAUGAAAAUCCAACGGAAACCUUCGGGAAGAAGUAGGAUUGGAUUAGCGGCGGACGGGUGAGUAACACGUGAGUAACCUGCCUUUGACAUGGGGAUAGCCUCGGGAAACUGGGAUUAAUACCCAAUAACAUUAUAUAAUCGCAUGAUUAAAUAAUCAAAGUGCUUAGCGGUCAAAGAUGGACUCGCGUCUGAUUAGCUAGUUGGUAGAGUAACGGUCUACCAAGGCAACGAUCAGUAACCGGCCUGAGAGGGUGAACGGUCACAUUGGAACUGAGAAACGGUCCAAACUCCUACGGGAGGCAGCAGUGGGGAAUAUUGCACAAUGGGGGAAACCCUGAUGCAGCGACGCCGCGUGAGCGAUGAAGGCUUUCGAGUCGUAAAGCUCUGUCCUAUGGGAAGAUAGUGACGGUACCAUAGGAGGAAGCCCCGGCUAACUACGUGCCAGCCGCCGCCGUAACAC
This 500-nucleotide ribosomal RNA is filed under the name uncultured bacterium. RNAcentral's name for it is "bacterial SSU rRNA". It matches the Rfam family "Bacterial small subunit ribosomal RNA", at positions 28 to 526 of the family's 1533-position model. The record is from RNAcentral.